CAUGCAGGUGGUCUGUUAAGUCAGAUGUGAAAGCCCGGGGCUUAACCUCGGAAUCGCAUUUGAAACUGGCAGGCUAGAGUACUGUAGAGGGGGGUAGAAUUUCAGGUGUAGCGGUGAAAUGCGUAGAGAUCCGAAGGAAUACCGGUGGCGAAGGCGGCCCCCUGGACAGAUACUGACACUCAGAUGCGAAAGCGUGGGGAGCAAACA
RNAcentral lists this ribosomal RNA (207 nucleotides) under uncultured bacterium. Its description in RNAcentral is "partial 16S ribosomal RNA". It matches the Rfam family "Bacterial small subunit ribosomal RNA", at positions 568 to 774 of the family's 1533-position model. The record is from RNAcentral.